This is a long non-coding RNA of Harpegnathos saltator (Jerdon's jumping ant), 983 nucleotides long. RefSeq lists it as uncharacterized. The record is from RefSeq and is a predicted model, not a curated record. NCBI's taxonomy places the organism in Eukaryota, Metazoa, Arthropoda, Insecta, Hymenoptera, Formicidae. The transcript is spliced from 2 exons.
CUAUAGUCUAAUACGGGCGUAAGAUCCCUCGUCUGAAAGAAAAUAUGAAGGAAUUGUAGGGAGAAUAGAAAGGAUCCUCCAUGGAUCCUCUGUCAUGCGCUUUAAACCGUCAGUGGAUUUUGACAUAUAUGUAGCUCCUACGUUACUUCAGGCAAGCGCUGUAGCGUGGAAAAUUCUCCCAAUCUCGCAGCACUGUUCUAGCCUUGAACGGCUUGAUGCUCCUCCCAUAACGUCUCAGCGCGCGCUGCUACAUUCCUAACGUAUCUCCGUAUCUUUCCAGCCCUAGUCUGUUUAUCUAUAUCUCGAACAUUCCUAUCCCUUUUCAAAUAUUGCUUUAUGAUCAUAUCUGUUUUUAUUACCCCAUCCUUUUUUUGAUAUUAGUUUUGCUCUAAACUUCUCACGAAACCGUUAGUCAGUCUCCAGUUGUCUUCCUAUCUGUAAGGAACACCUCCCGCUCCUUUCGUAGCAUAUUCCUCUCGUAGUGUAUAUUUAAAUAUACCACGUGUCUCAAAAGUAACGGACACCCUAAUAACUCUUUAGUAUUGAAGUUUCGAGAAAAAUGAUCUGAUUAAAAGGUGUAGAAAUUUAAGUGAGCUACCUUAUGAUGACCUUAACUUUGACCUCGACCUCUAUUUUCAAGGAUGCGUUCGAAAACGUCACUCGGUUGCACCCACUGUGUUAGUGUGCGGAAGAUACGAAAGUGAAAGCACCCAGUACUGACAGAGAAUAUCGAAACGCGACUCAAUGUGCGCGGAUGUAAUAAUGCGUUUUUUUGCAACUUUUGGAACGCAUCCCGAGAAGAUGAGAGUCACUGCUCCGCCUGCGGAGCACGCCUGCGCAGUGACUCACAACGAAAGGCGAGAAAUGAAAUAUACACGAUGGGAUAUAUUAUAAUAAUACAGACUCAGAUGAAAUGAAUAUUCCAGCAUUAAAUGGAAAUGAAGGAACACAGAACAGACAAGAAUCAUCCGAUGUAAGUCUUA